Molecule: ribosomal RNA, 273 nt
Filed under: uncultured prokaryote
Description: partial 16S ribosomal RNA
Rfam family: Bacterial small subunit ribosomal RNA
Source: RNAcentral
UACGUAGGAUCCGAGCGUUAUCCGAAUUUACUGGGCGUAAAGCGCGUGCAGGCGGUUUGGUAAGUUGGAUGUGAAAGCUCCCGGCUCAACUGGGAGAGGCCGUUCAAAACUACCAGACUCGAGGACGGUAGAGGGAGGUGGAAUUCCCGGUGUAGUAGUGAAAUGCGUAGAUAUCGGGAGGAACACCAGUGGCGAAAGCGGCCUCCUGGACCGUUCCUGACGCUCAGACGCGAAAGCUAGGGGAGCAAACGGGAUUAGAAACCCGGGUAGUCC